Molecule: ribosomal RNA, 485 nt
Filed under: Meligethes isoplexidis
Lineage: Eukaryota; Metazoa; Arthropoda; Insecta; Coleoptera; Nitidulidae
Description: partial 16S ribosomal RNA
Source: RNAcentral
AAAACAUGGCCUUUUGAUUUUAAUUUAAGGUCUAACCUGCCCAAUGAUUUUAUUUAAUGGCCGCGGUAUUUUGACCGUGCAAAGGUAGCAUAAUCAUUAGUUUUUUAAUUGAAAGCUGGAAUGAAGGGUUGAAUGAGAAAAUAACUGUUUUUUUUAUAUUUUAUUAAAAUUUUAUUUUUAAGUUAAAAAGCUUAAAUUUUAUUUAAAGACGAGAAGACCCUUUAGAGUUUUAUAAAAAUUAUUAUUUUUCUUCUUUUUAGUAUUAAUAAAAUGAAAAAUUUAUUUUUAUUUGGUUGGGGUGAUUAAAAAAUUUAAAAAACUUUUUUUUAAAAAGCACAUUUAUUUAUGAAUAUUUGAUCCAUAUAUUAUGAUUAAAAGAAAAAAUUACCUAAGGGAUAACAGCGUUAUUUUUUUUAAGAGUUCAAAUCGAAAAAAAAGAUUGCGACCUCGAUGUUGGAUUAAAAUUAAAUUAUGGUGUAGAGGCU